RNAcentral lists this ribosomal RNA (392 nucleotides) under uncultured bacterium. RNAcentral's name for it is "bacterial SSU rRNA". It matches the Rfam family "Bacterial small subunit ribosomal RNA", at positions 28 to 417 of the family's 1533-position model. The record is from RNAcentral.
GACGAACGCUGGCGGCGUGCUUAACACAUGCAAGUCGAGCGGUAAGGCCCUUUCGGGGGUACGACGAGCGGCGAACGGGUGAGUAACACGUGGGUGACCUGCCCUCAGCUCUGGGAUAAGACCUGGGAAACUAGGGUCUAAUACUGGAUAUGACUCCACGGUGCAUGUCGUGGGGUGGAAAGCCUUGUGCGGCUGAGGAUGGGCCCGCGGCCUAUCAGCUUGUUGGUGGGGUGAUGGCCUACCAAGGCGACGACGGGUAGCCGGCCUGAGAGGGCGACCGGCCACACUGGGACUGAGACACGGCCCAGACUCCUACGGGAGGGCAGCAGUGGGGAAUCUUGCGCAAUGGGCGAAAGCCUGACGCAGCGACGCCGCGUGAGGGAUGACGGCCU